This 431-nucleotide ribosomal RNA is filed under the name uncultured bacterium. Its description in RNAcentral is "partial 16S ribosomal RNA". It matches the Rfam family "Bacterial small subunit ribosomal RNA", at positions 29 to 507 of the family's 1533-position model. The record is from RNAcentral.
AACGAACGCUGGCGGCAGGCUUAACACAUGCAAGUCGAGCGCCCCGCAAGGGGAGCGGCAGGCGGGUGAGUAACGCGUGGGAACGUACCUUUUGGUUCGGAACAACUCCGGGAAACUGGAGCUAAUACCGGAUAAGCCCUAACGGGGAAAGAUUUAUCGCCGAAAGAUCGGCCCGCGUCUGAUUAGCUAGUUGGUGAGGUAACGGCUCACCAAGGCGACGAUCAGUAGCUGGUCUGAGAGGAUGAUCAGCCACACUGGGACUGAGACACGGCCCAGACUCCUACGGGAGGCAGCAGUGGGGAAUAUUGGACAAUGGGCGCAAGCCUGAUCCAGCCAUGCCGCGUGAGUGAUGAAGGCCUUAGGGUUGUAAAGCUCUUUUGUCCGGGAAGAUAAUGACUGUACCGGAAGAAUAAGCCCCGGCUAACUUCGUG